GUGGGGAAUCUUAGACAAUGGGCGCAAGCCUGAUCUAGCCAUGCCGCGUGAGCGAUGAAGGCCUUAGGGUUGUAAAGCUCUUUCGUGGGGGAAGAUAAUGACUGUACCCCAAGAAGAAGCCCCGGCUAACUCCGUGCCAGCAGCCGCGGUAAUACGGAGGGGGCUAGCGUUGUUCGGAAUUACUGGGCGUAAAGCGCACGUAGGCGGACUGGAAAGUCAGGGGUGAAAUCCCGGGGUCAAACCCCGGAACUGCCUUUGAAACUCCCGGUCUUGAGUUCGAGAGAGGUGAGUGGAAUUCCGAGUGUAGAGGUGAAAUUCGUAGAUAUUCGGAGGAACACCAGUGGCGAAGGCGGCUCACUGGCUCGAUACUGACGCUGAGGUGCGAAAGCGUGGGGAGCAAACAGGAUUAGAAACCCGUGUAGUCC
This 425-nucleotide ribosomal RNA is filed under the name uncultured bacterium. RNAcentral's name for it is "partial 16S ribosomal RNA". It matches the Rfam family "Bacterial small subunit ribosomal RNA", at positions 354 to 796 of the family's 1533-position model. The record is from RNAcentral.